AGAGUUUGAUCCGUGGCUCGAGGACGAACGCUGGCGGCGUGCUUCAUACAUGCAAGUCGAACGAGAAGCUCACUUCGGUGAGUGGAAAGUGGCGGACGGGUGAGUAAUGUGUAGAGAAUCUGCCUUCAAGCGGGGGAUAGCCAAUGGAAACGUUGAUUAAUACCCCAUAUGAGCGUAACUGAAAUGUUAUUCUUGAAAACUCCGGUGCUUGGAGAUGAGUCUGCAUCUGAUUAGCUAGUUGGAGGUGUAAUGGACCACCAAGGCGACGAUCAGUAGCUGGUUUGAGAGGAUGAUCAGCCACAAUGGGACUGAGACACGGCCCAUACUCC
Molecule: ribosomal RNA, 329 nt
Filed under: uncultured cyanobacterium
Lineage: Bacteria; Bacillati; Cyanobacteriota
Description: bacterial SSU rRNA
Rfam family: Bacterial small subunit ribosomal RNA
Source: RNAcentral